GUUUCCUGGAUGCACGUCGCAGCUCUGCACAAACCCUUCUGCACACACGCUCCACCUCGGCCACAGGCAACUUCCCUGCCAGCCCUAGGAGUGUCCCGAGCAAAAUCUGCCCGUCAUAGGAAAUAGAAGAGCCAGUUUUAGAUGGACUCAAAAGAAACAUUUGUCCCAUUGUUUCAUGUGAAGUACACCAAACAUUGAUCCAAGAGACUUAUUUCUUUUGCUCAAGAGCAAAAUGUUUUGCGUUUUUUUCUUCAACUGCUAAAUAGUUUCAAGUCAUUCUUAAAAAUAGUAUGGGCAGCAUUUUAUGGCUCUUCUCUAGCUCUGCACUGGCAUUCUCAAAAUACGACUGUGCUAUGUGACGUACACUGGGAGAAGUCCUCUCCAUCAGCAUCAUCAACCACUUAGACAAUAAUCUGUGUAUGACAGCAAGAGGGAUCACAAGCUUACAACAACUUUUGUGCAAGCAGUGACUCAUCACUAAAGUAUAUGGGCUGGCUUUACCUGUUACUCCAGGAUCACUGAAUGUACCAGCCCCUACAAAACUGUCCACAGGCACAGCAUGAAGUGUGUCCUCAGGCCUUAACUGGGUGCAGACCAUGAUGGUUUGCUUCUUGCUGGACUGAAAUUCACCCAUCCUUCCUGCAGCAUUUCAGAGACAGGUCUUAUGCAGAGUGCUUGCAUGACUUUUGAAUUAUAAAAUCUUUGAAAAUGUUAAUAACAACAACAAUAAACAAAUUCCUUAUUUUCCCAUUUAAAUUUCAAAAUAAAACAAUGUGCAUUUCAAGCUCCUCAAUUCAAGAAGAAAGCACCCGGGUGAAGGAACUUCAUGCACUUUCUUGACACAACCAUCUUGUUCCCUGCUCUCACCUCUAGCUCAGCCACUCAGAGGCUGAUGAUACCCACCGAAAAAAGCCAUCUUCCCUUCAAGGCAUCUGCUCCACGUUUGAUUUCCUGCACAGUUCUUUCUGUGUGCAAGAGCAAGGAGGAUGGCAAGGCAGGCAUCGAGCACUGCCUUCUCCCAUGGAUCAGCCAUGGCACAAUGGAAAACGUGGGCUCAGAUUCCAGAACUCCUUUUCUGCUUUGUGUAAAAGCUGGCAUUUGGAUAGUUCAGUUUCUUAGUAUGGAAAAAGGGAUCUGAAUCCUG
Molecule: long non-coding RNA, 1144 nt
Filed under: Cyanistes caeruleus (blue tit)
Lineage: Eukaryota; Metazoa; Chordata; Aves; Passeriformes; Paridae
Description: lncRNA (ENSCCEG00000015881.1)
Source: RNAcentral